AUUGAACGCUGGCGGCAGGCCUAACACAUGCAAGUCGAGCGGAUGAAGGGAGCUUGCUCCUGGCUUCAGCGGCGGACGGGUGAGUGAUGCCUAGGAAUCUGCCUUGUAGUGGGGGAUAACGUCCGGACACGGGCGCUAAUACAGCAUACGUCCUGAUGGAGAAAGUGGGGGUUCUUAGGAGCUAGGGGUUUCAGAUGAGCCUAGGUGGGGUUAGCUAGUUGGUGGGGUAACGGCCUACCAAGGCGACGAUCCGUAACUGACCUGAGAGGAUGAUCAGUCACACUGGAACUGAGACACGGUCCAGACUCCUACGGGAGGCAGCAGUGGGGAAUAUUGGACAAUGGGCGAAAGCCUGAUCCAGCCAUGCCGCGUGUGUGAAGAAGGUCUUCGGAUUGUAAAGCACUUUAAGUUGGGAGGAAGGGCAGUAAGUUAAUACCUGGCUGUUUUGACGUUACCAACAGAAUAAGCACCGGCUAACUUCGUG
Molecule: ribosomal RNA, 484 nt
Filed under: uncultured bacterium
Lineage: Bacteria
Description: partial 16S ribosomal RNA
Rfam family: Bacterial small subunit ribosomal RNA
Source: RNAcentral